UGGGGAAUCUUGCGCAAUGGAGGCAACUCUGACGCAGCGACGCCGCGUGUGUGACGAAGGCCUUCGGGUCGUAAAGCACUGUCAGGCGGGAAGAAGGCCCGACUUCGAGUCGGGUGUUGACGGUACCGCCGAAGGAAGCACCGGCCAACUCCGUGCCAGCAGCCGCGGUAAGACGGAGGGUGCAAGCGUUGUUCGGAAUCAUUGGGCGUAAAGCGCGCGCAGGCGGCCCGAUGGGUCCGGUGUGAAGCCCCGGGGAUUAACUCCGGACGUGCAUCGGAAACUAUCGGGCUUGAGUCCGGGAGGGGCCUGUGGAAUUCCUGGUGUAGGGGUGAAAUCCGUAGAGAUCAGGAGGAACACCGGCGGCGAAAGCGACAGGCUGGACCGGGACUGACGCUGAGGCGCGAAAGCGCGGGUAGCGAACA
This 422-nucleotide ribosomal RNA is filed under the name uncultured bacterium. RNAcentral's name for it is "bacterial SSU rRNA". It matches the Rfam family "Bacterial small subunit ribosomal RNA", at positions 355 to 774 of the family's 1533-position model. The record is from RNAcentral.